Molecule: transfer RNA, 76 nt
Filed under: Chitinophagaceae bacterium
Lineage: Bacteria; Pseudomonadati; Bacteroidota; Chitinophagia; Chitinophagales; Chitinophagaceae
Also listed under: 1 other name
Description: tRNA-Thr
Rfam family: tRNA
About the family: Transfer RNA (tRNA) molecules are approximately 80 nucleotides in length.
Source: RNAcentral
GCCGCUUUAGCUCAGUUGGUAGAGCAACUGAUUUGUAAUCAGUAGGUCGUUGGUUCGACUCCGACAAGCGGCUCCU